UCGGAUUGUAGUCUGCAACCCGACUACAUGAAGCCGGAAUCGCUAGUAAUCGCGGAUCAGAAUGCCGCGGUGAAUACGUUCCCGGGUCUUGUACACACCGCCCGUCACACCAUGGGAGUCGGGAAUGCCCGAAGUCAGUGACCCAACCCAAGGGAGGGAGCUGCCGAAGGCAGGCCUGGUGACUGGGGUGAAGUCGUAACAAGGUAUC
RNAcentral lists this ribosomal RNA (208 nucleotides) under uncultured bacterium. RNAcentral's name for it is "partial 16S ribosomal RNA". It matches the Rfam family "Bacterial small subunit ribosomal RNA", at positions 1293 to 1500 of the family's 1533-position model. The record is from RNAcentral.